Molecule: transfer RNA, 71 nt
Filed under: Phrynosoma platyrhinos (Desert horned lizard)
Lineage: Eukaryota; Metazoa; Chordata; Lepidosauria; Squamata; Phrynosomatidae
Description: tRNA-OTHER
Source: RNAcentral
GCCAGUGUGGAGUAGUGGUUGAGCACUGGAAUAUGACUCUGGAGACCAGAGUUCGAUUCCCUGCUUGGCCA